Molecule: long non-coding RNA, 1231 nt
Organism: Coffea arabica (coffee)
Lineage: Eukaryota; Viridiplantae; Streptophyta; Magnoliopsida; Gentianales; Rubiaceae
Source: RefSeq, a predicted model, not a curated record
UGCUUCAUCUCAUCUCUCUCACAAGAAACACUCUCUCCUCAGCAAAUUAUCUCUAGCCAAAACACUUGGAGUUUUUUCUGCUGAAUCUCCCUGAAAACAAACUUUCCUUGCUUUCCCAUUGAAGCAGAUGAGAGGAAAAAUGCUUCUGUACCUGCACUCGAGUACAACCCCCUUACUUAUAUGUUCGUGUACAUGGCAGCCAAUCACUAUUUUCCAUAUGAGCCAGAGAAGUCCUACUCAACACAGGAACUUUGCCAUCUUCUGGGAACUGUAAUUGUGAAGAAGGCAUGGGUGCAAUCUAUAUUGGGUGGGUCCUACUAUCAUAGUCAUUUUCCCAUUUACUAGCAGGGUCAAGCUCUAUUACUACAUGUUUGAGAGACCUCAUAUGUAGGUGAUACGCUGGAGCAAGGCAUCCCCAAAAUAUGCUGGAGUGCUAGAUGCGAGUGAGAAAUAGUUCACUGUGAGGAUUCGGAGCUUUUGUUUUUCAAUUGGAUGAAGGUAUAUUUGCCUUCUGUAAUUUGCAAAAGCAUGAAGGCAUUUUUUUUAAUUGCUGGGAAGGAGCACAUUCAGCUUACUUGCAAUUUACGAUGACUAAUCUGGAAGGAUAGAACAAAGCACAGUUUAGUGAAUCCAGAUUAGAAAUGGACAAGGUUGCACAUAAAAGCCACUCAGGAACAGUGAGAAUACAACACGAGGAGUUUGAGCGUAGUGGAAAUGGAACAUAUUGAUGUUUGCAUCAAAAGAUGAACUCUGCUGCAACAAUCUGUCCAAUUAAGAACAAGUUAGGAUAUGGGGUAAUUGCCAGCAACUGGCCUGGGGAGAUUGUAGAAAGCUGGGCAACAUCAGAAGCAAGUCAAGGCAGCAAGGAUCCUGCAGAAGCUGAAGCUAGCAAAUAUGAUUAACCAAAGCCAUUAAUUUACAAUUACUAAUCUGAUGCUAAAGCUGCAAACAUAGCCGAAGAUAUAUUGGUCUUGAGUCCUCUGUUUUGUAUGUGGUCGGUUUCAAAAGGAUGUAAGGGUUCGGAAAGAGCAAUGGAUAAAACUUUGGGGUUAUUGAAAAAGUGAAGAAGCAAAGGUACAAAUCAGCUACAACAUUCUUAAUAAAGUUGUGUUUAUUCAAUGUUGUAAUCUUGGUUAUGAUUUUGAAAUUUAGAAACUAAGUUUGUACUUGUUAGGGAUUUGCUAUGUUAGCACUUGUUACUGACUUUUAGUUCAACAAAUUAUAUUUGAGU